RNAcentral lists this ribosomal RNA (60 nucleotides) under Fibrobacter sp. UWH6. Its description in RNAcentral is "16S rRNA. Bacterial SSU". Lineage: Bacteria; Pseudomonadati; Fibrobacterota; Fibrobacteria; Fibrobacterales; Fibrobacteraceae. The record is from RNAcentral.
AAUUAAUGAAGAGUUUGAUCCUGGCUCAGAACGAACGCUGGUGGCGUGUCUUAUACAUGC